Molecule: ribosomal RNA, 253 nt
Filed under: uncultured bacterium
Lineage: Bacteria
Description: partial 16S ribosomal RNA
Rfam family: Bacterial small subunit ribosomal RNA
Source: RNAcentral
UACAGAGGGUGCGAGCGUUAAUCGGAAUUACUGGGCGUAAAGCGUGCGUAGACGGUUAUGUAAGUCGGGUGUGAAAGUCCCGGGCUUAACCUGGGAAUGGCGUUUGGGACUGCAUGGCUAGAGUACGUCAGAGGGGGGUGGGAUUCCACGUGUAGCAGUGAAAUGCGUAGAGAUGUGGAGGAACACCAGUGGCGAAGGCGACUUUUUGGCCUGUAACUGACGCUGAGGCGCGAAAGCGUGGGGAGCAAACAGG